UUGAAUGGCCGCAGUAUUUUGACUGUGCAAAGGUAGCAUAAUCAUUAGUUUUUUAAUUAAAAGCUGGAAUGAAGGGUUGAACGAAAAAAUAACUGUCUCUUUAUAAAUUUAUUAGAAUUUUAUAUUUAAGUUAAAAAGCUUAAAUAAAUUUAAAAGACGAGAAGACCCUAUAGAGUUUUAUAUAAUUUUAUAAUAAGUAAUUUUUGUAACUUUAAGUUUUUUUUAUUUAAUUGUAUUUGAUUGGGGUGAUUAAAAAAUUUAAUAAACUUUUUAUUUUUUUUUUUAGAACAUUAAUUUAUGAAUUUAUGAUCCAUUAAUUAUGAUUAAAAGAUUAAAUUACCUUAGGGAUAACAGCGUAAUUUUUCUUUAGAGUUCUAAUCGAUGGAAAAGUUUGCGACCUCGAUGUUGGAUUAAAAUAUAAUUUUGGUGUAGAAGCUAAAUAUUUAGGUCUGUUCGACCUUUAAAAUUUUACAUGAUCUGAGUUUAAACCGGUGUGAGCCAGGUUGGUUUCUAUCUUUAAAUUAAUAUAAUAUUUUAGUACGAAAGGACCAAAUAUUAAUAAAAUUUUUUUUAUAAUGAUUAUUAUUAAUGU
This 592-nucleotide ribosomal RNA is filed under the name Crataraea suturalis. RNAcentral describes it as "partial 16S ribosomal RNA". The stretch from base 347 to 505 matches the Rfam family "Bacterial large subunit ribosomal RNA", at positions 2473 to 2632 of the family's 2925-position model. Lineage: Eukaryota; Metazoa; Arthropoda; Insecta; Coleoptera; Staphylinidae. The record is from RNAcentral.